Molecule: ribosomal RNA, 468 nt
Filed under: uncultured bacterium
Lineage: Bacteria
Description: partial 16S ribosomal RNA
Rfam family: Bacterial small subunit ribosomal RNA
Source: RNAcentral
GACGAACGCUGGCGGCGUGCUUAACACAUGCAAGUCGAACGGAAAGGCCCUGCUUUUGUGGGGUGCUCGAGUGGCGAACGGGUGAGUAACACGUGAGUAACCUGCCCUUGACUUUGGGAUAACUUCAGGAAACUGGGGCUAAUACCGGAUAGGAGCUCCUGCUGCAUGGUGGGGGUUGGAAAGUUUCGGCGGGUGGGGAUGGACUCGCGGCUUAUCAGCUUGUUGGUGGGGGAGUGGCUUACCAAGGCUGUGACGGGUAGCCGGCCUGAGAGGGUGACCGGCCACAUUGGGACUGAGAUACGGCCCAGACGCCUACGGGAGGCAGCAGUGGGGAAUAUUGCACAAUGGGCGGAAGCCUGAUGCAGCAACGCCGCGUGCGGGAUGACGGCCUUCGGGUUGUAAACCGCUUUCGCCUGUGACGAAGCGUGAGUGACGGUAAUGGGUAAAGAAGCACCGGCUAACUACGUG